This is a long non-coding RNA of Apis florea (little honeybee), 846 nucleotides long. NCBI's taxonomy places the organism in Eukaryota, Metazoa, Arthropoda, Insecta, Hymenoptera, Apidae. The record is from RefSeq and is a predicted model, not a curated record.
AUCAUUUAUUGCAUACUUAAGACAAGUUUCAAGAAGCUAUUACAAAAUCGUCAGAUUAAUCGCGCGAUUAAAACCGUGAACACAUAAAAAGAUAUUUAAUCGCAUCUUAUCAGCAAUUACACCAUUAUUUAACUGGAAUAAUGGCGUAUGGAAUUGUCGCAAGAACAUUAUCCAUUUAUUGCCAUUGAUCGCUUUAAUAAAAGUUUCAUUUAAACACAUUCUUGUCGAUCUCAUCGCGAUAUUUUUUUUUGAAUUACAAAUUCCCGCGUAUAGAAUCGCGUGCCAUAUGCGGCAAUAUUGUAUUGCGCGCGCAGACUUUAUCUUCUAUGUCCUUGCGCAGAAUCAUACGAUUCCCGCGUAAAGACACGUGGCACCAUUCCUUGCGUUUUUCGAAGCAGUGAUUUCUAGGUUAUCGAUCUCUUCGUAGCGAGCAAGACAAUAGACUCACGAUUUCUAUCGAUCGUGCAACGUUCUUGUUUGAAAUCCUGCUCCACUCUUAAAUAACCUCUUAAUUGUUAACCUAUGCCCAUAUAUUCGUCGGAAUUGCCGUUUUUCGUGCGACCGGGAUUCGUGACACCAGACAGAUGAGGAGCGAAAGAAAGAAAGAAAGAGGUCCAUAGACUGUGAAGGAAAGAUGUAACCUGUUCCAGUUUCCAGGAUCAUCGUGCACUACUACUGUAUAUUCGAGAAAUUGAAUCUGCUGAAAUGUAACACGAGAAUCAGUAUGCGAUUAUCGAAGACUGUGUCAAGUGUCUGCUGGAUCUGGAUAUUCCGACCACCAGACGGAUUCUUUGAUUCUUCAGAUGGUUAUCUUUCAGAAAACCCGUGAGAAUAGGUCGUUCAAUA